This 335-nucleotide unclassified non-coding RNA is filed under the name Hevea brasiliensis (rubber tree). The record is from RNAcentral. Lineage: Eukaryota; Viridiplantae; Streptophyta; Magnoliopsida; Malpighiales; Euphorbiaceae.
GGACUCGAGUCUCCCAGAAAUUACAAAGCCCAGAAGAAGAGCGCGCGCGCGAGAGAGAGAGAUAGAAACUCGAAAACUGCAAUUGCAGGAGGUGUGAAAAGAUCUAAUAAUAGAAUCAUUUUAGGUUUUCGGAUUUGGAGAGAUCAAACUCUCUCCUGAUUUAAAUCUUCAAUGGCGUUUCGAAGAGCAAACAUUCUCUUUCUGUUAUGCGCUCUAUCGUACGCUCUCACCGCCGUUGCAGGGGAAAGCUAUUACGAUAUAUUGCAAGUGCCGAGGAGCGCAUCGGACGAACAGAUCAAGAGAGCCUAUAGAAAGCUGGCAUUGAAGUACCAUCC